CACAGACUCACAAGUAAAGCAAAAGAGAGAAUAAGGAGACUCAUAGUCCUUUAAGUCUUCCCUGCUACACUUUGCUUUGCUUUUCUUUUCCUUAGAACUCCAAUCAGUUUCCUUCACAGACGCGAUUACAGAGAGAAAUGGGAAUUUGGGAUUUCAUCAAGUCAAGCACAUCUCCGGUGACGAACCCCUUCAGAACGUCUUACAAUUACGGAUCCGCCUCCUACACCCUUCUCGAUAAUAUCCAGAUGCUCAACCAGUUGCUUCCGGACAGUGUGGCCACAUCCAAGAUCGGUAUAUUUGGUAGAAUAUUGGCUAACGCUAUUGACUUCAUUGCCCACUUCAAGAGAGAUCCUGGUUUGCUUCCAUCUCACAUACCACAGUUUCGCUUUUCAGUUUUUGUUUAUACUUUACUGAAAGGGAAAGAUUGAAUAUUUUAUAUUUGCAUUCUAAUUUCAUCUUAAAAAUGUCAACAAUAAGAGUAGUUCAGUCAUUUAUAUGUUAGAUUUAUAUUUUGAUGAUUCAUCGAAAUGAAAUUUAUCUUUUAACAUGAAAGAUUUUGUUAAAGUGGGUAAUUAAAACUUAGAACAUUCUUGUUGGGUAUUCGGAGAAGAAGAUGAUGCGUUAUUAAAUUUCAAUAUUUUGAUUACUUUUUUUCUCCAUUUUUCUAAACCAUUUCUUCAUGUUAUUGUACUUUGUGUUUAUGGUGUUUAUUUGUCAAUAAUGACUUUGAAUUUAUUUUAUCAUUGAAUUAGAGCUUUGAUAUGGGUUGCUACCCAACUUGUUCUUAUUACCCU
This 794-nucleotide long non-coding RNA is filed under the name Olea europaea subsp. europaea. The record is from RNAcentral. Lineage: Eukaryota; Viridiplantae; Streptophyta; Magnoliopsida; Lamiales; Oleaceae.